AAGUCGUAACAAGGUUUCCGUAGGUGAACCUGCGGAAGGAUCAUUACCGAGUUAGGGUCUCCUUCGCGAGGCCCGACCUCCCAACCCUGUGUCUAUUAAACCUGUAUGUGUUGCUUCGGCGGAACGGCGGUUGACACCCUUUCGGGGGAGGAUACCGUCGCCGGGGGAAAAACGGUCUCACGACCGCCCCUGGAGAGCGUCCGCCGAUGGCCCCCUACCAAACAACUCCCAAACCAAAAUAUUGUACCUAAAACUUCUGAAUCAGACCUUUUGAUAUACCAAUCAAAAACAAAACUUUCAACAACGGAUCUCUUGGUUCUG
This 321-nucleotide unclassified non-coding RNA is filed under the name air metagenome. Its description in RNAcentral is "partial contains small subunit ribosomal RNA, internal transcribed spacer 1, and 5.8S ribosomal RNA". The stretch from base 1 to 46 matches the Rfam family "Eukaryotic small subunit ribosomal RNA", at positions 1786 to 1831 of the family's 1831-position model. The record is from RNAcentral.